CGUAGGGUGCAAGCGUUAAUCGGAAUUACUGGGCGUAAAGCGUGCGCAGGCGGUCUUGCAAGACAGAUGUGAAAUCCCCGGGCUCAACCUGGGAACUGCAUUUGUGACUGCAAGGCUGGAGUGCGGCAGAGGGGGAUGGAAUUCCGCGUGUAGCAGUGAAAUGCGUAGAUAUGCGGAGGAACACCGAUGGCGAAGGCAAUCCCCUGGGCCUGCACUGACGCUCAUGCACGAAAGCGUGGGGAGCAAACAGGAUUAGAUACCCUGGUAGUCCACGCCCUAAACGAUGUCAACUGGUUGUUGGGAAGGUUCCUUCUCAGUAACGUAGCUAACGCGUGAAGUUGACCGCCUGGGGAGUACGGCCGCAAGGUUG
Molecule: ribosomal RNA, 370 nt
Filed under: uncultured bacterium
Lineage: Bacteria
Description: bacterial SSU rRNA
Rfam family: Bacterial small subunit ribosomal RNA
Source: RNAcentral